This 153-nucleotide small RNA is filed under the name Streptococcus pyogenes. The record is from RNAcentral. Lineage: Bacteria; Bacillati; Bacillota; Bacilli; Lactobacillales; Streptococcaceae.
ACAAAGACAAAGAGGUAAAUAACAUGCUAGUAACAAAAGUAAUUCACAAAAUCUAAAAUAUUGAACCAAGCGAAAAAGAUUCGGCCUUAAAAUAUAGAUACGCCAACGAACUUGAGUAUCUCGUUUACAAUCUGUUUUAUAGCGCAAUUAAAG